UCUCUGCUCGGGUGCCUGAGCGCUGAGGACACACCAGUAGGAGGAGGCAGCAUAAACUCUCAAAGCGAGAGUCCACAGUGGUUCCCAGUCUCCUCUUUGGAUACCCGGGCACUGCCAACAAAUGGCAGGAAGAAGGAUUCAAGAACCCUUUAUCCUGGGACAUCUCUACACUGGGCAGAAAGGGGAGGCAGAGCCCAGUAUGAGUGGAAUCCAGUCUGAUCAGAGCUUGACAGGAUCAAGAGGAAGCUAGGAGACAAACCUCCAGACACGCCUGCGAGGGAUUAUCUAGAAGAAAAUAAUUGAAGCAGGAAGACCUGCCUUAACUGUGGGUGGCACCAUUCCUUGGGGUGAGGUCCUGGAUUGAGGACAAAGUAGAAAGUAUGUUGUCACAACGAGGAAACGAGAAAUGUCUUGGUCAGAGUAUUUGAAGCAGGAAGACCCAGGACGCAGGACUGCCCUUCUCUUGGCAGUCUACAUAAAAGGACACGGAUGAAGGAAGCAUUGCUCUUUGCUUCACACUUGCUGAUGAGUUGAGCUGGAAAGAUCCUGUUGCUGUGGCAUUCCUUGACCGAUAUUAGAACUUACUUCCUCAGGAUUCCAAGGUAGAUUGAAGACCAGCAUCUCCCCAGGAAUCCUCCAGGCCUUCAGUGCCAUUUUGAGACUACUGGGACAUUCAGCCUCAUGAUUCUUUGUGUCUCAAUAAUAAACCCCCUUUAACAUA
Long non-coding RNA from Mus musculus (house mouse), 721 nucleotides. RefSeq annotates it as predicted gene, 41601. Lineage: Eukaryota; Metazoa; Chordata; Mammalia; Rodentia; Muridae. The transcript has 3 exons. The record is from RefSeq and is a predicted model, not a curated record.